GGAUGUGAGGGCGAUCUGGCUGCGACAUCUGUCACCCCAUUGAUCGCCAGGGUUGAUUCGGCUGAUCUGGCUGGCUAGGCGGGUGUCCCCUUCCUCCCUCACCGCUCCAUGUGCGUCCCUCCCGAAGCUGCGCGCUCGGUGGAAGAGGACGACCGUCCCAGAUAGAAGGAGUGUACCGUUCUUCGGUCAAGGGUAUACAAUAGCUGCGCUCCCCUGCUAGAACCUCCAAACAAGCUCAAGAAGGCAUUGAGGAGUUCAGCCCUUUCUGU
Molecule: small nuclear RNA, 269 nt
Filed under: Podarcis lilfordi (Lilford's wall lizard)
Lineage: Eukaryota; Metazoa; Chordata; Lepidosauria; Squamata; Lacertidae
Rfam family: 7SK RNA
About the family: 7SK was discovered as an abundant small nuclear RNA in the mid-70s but a possible function has only recently been suggested. Two independent studies have found that 7SK RNA binds the CDK9/cyclin T complex (known as elongation factor P-TEFb).
Source: RNAcentral